Molecule: RNA transcript, 4361 nt
Organism: Pecten maximus
Lineage: Eukaryota; Metazoa; Mollusca; Bivalvia; Pectinida; Pectinidae
Exons: 12
Source: RefSeq, a predicted model, not a curated record
AGUAUGGAUUUGAGAUUGGAAUUGGAAUCCCUGUUAUUAAAACUUACACAAGACGACGUUAGCGACAGCCAGCGAAAUAACUUGAUUGGCUCAUCUCAACAAGAAAUCAAUAUAGUUCUGAAAAAACUCUUGCAUCAUCUGGAGAAUCAACACGAUGUGGAGAAAUCUUUAACUGAACUUCCUGAUAUUGGACAGGUUUUAGGAAGAUUAUGUGGGAAUCGUGCUGUACAAGGAAAUAAGUUGUUGUACCAUUCCACAAUGAUGUGUGUCUUGUCACUGUAUCGGGUAGAGCCAUUGUCCCAACUGGAACAGAAAGCUAAGGAUUGGGCACUGGCACAGUUACAAAACACUCUGAAGAAAAAGCCAAAAGAUACCUAUCAUACCUGUGGUGUGGGGAUCUCCCAUACAAAAAUUAUGCAGCGUCACAUUUCCAAGUUGUCAGCAAAAGUGUUUCCAGCCCUGAAAGAAUGUAUUGGUGAUGUUCGUGUGAGAUGUGUAGGAUCAGGAACCCACAUACCUGGUGAGGUAUACACAGAGGUCAGAGCCACUAUACAGCAGAUUGUUGGUGUACUUCUAUCGGUUCCACAGUCGGAUGAGUACCAGGAUGUGUGGACAGAUAUCCUAUGGAUCCUUUCUGUCCAUGGACUCGAAGAACCUUGGGUGCAGGACAUUUACCAGAAAAUAACUUUACAUCAGAACUCGAGUCAUAUGCAAGGUAGAAGUGGUGGUUUUUCAUUGAGUAAAUCAGGAUGGAGACUACUUUGGCAGAGUUAUCUCCCCUCUUUAGAGGUAGCAGUUCUUCACCAUAUAGACCAGGCCUGCAGAGUAAGAUUGCCUUCUUCAGUAAAAUGCAUACUGAAGAAGCAAUGUUUUGUUGAGAUUUGCGCUGAAGAUCCUGUGUUGUUGACGGUUGUCAGUCAGAUGUUACAAGAGCUGAUCAGGCAUGCAGGAUAUAACAGUGAGCUCAUCUGGGUAACAGCAGUCUUUUACCAGCUACUUCAAGAACAUUACUCUCUGGCUGGAAGUCAUGAUGUUACUUUACUACAGUUGUAUCCAGAACAUCAGAAUGUUGUCUCAGCAGCACUUUCAAUGUUCCAACCAUGUACGGAUGUGGAUGUUUCUGCCGACAAAGUCUGUAAAAUUGUAGCGUCCUUAGAAGACCAACAACAGAACAUCGGGCGCCAGGUCAUCUCUCACAACAGCAUGUUGUACCAUAGACACUGGUAUCUGAACACCAUCAGAAUCUGUCUUUGCUGCCACAAGAAGUUUCUUGAUGGAUGCUCUUCUUUGCUGUGUUGGAUAUUGGAACCAAAAAAUAUAGAAACUCAAAGGGAAAUAAAAAUAAUAUUACACAACUGUAUCCAGGCUCUGAGAUCUCUGAUGACUAAAGUCAGUCUUGAAGUUACAGAUGUAUUAUAUGUGAUACAGACAGAACACAGUCUAUCUAAUGUAGCAAAGUCAGCAAUCAGUCAUCUAGUUAUGAUGUUUCUCUACAAGGCCAGUGCUGGGAUGAACAUCUUCAAGGAUGUUCUCCCAAAGGUGUCUUUGGCAAAAACUCCACUGGAUGUCCUGGUGUACAUAUUAACAGCACACGAGGAGCUGGAUUUGAGGUUUACAGACUGGUCACUGUGUCGACUGAAAGAUUAUUGUGGUAUAAUACAGGAAUUCUUACACCAGGCAUCUUGUGAUAAUCUCGACACUAUUCCUAAAGAAAUCUUCAUGGCCACAAACAGUUUUCUUCAAAAAUACAACACAUAGUUAUAAAAUCAUUUCAAAUUUUCAUUCAAACUGAAUGAUGUUCAUGCAAAACUUGGAUCUAUGAGAACUGUUAAAGACGUUGUACUAAAAAGAGUAAGCCCAACACGACAGUUACUCCUUAGCUCCAAAUUUUAAUGCCGAGAGUCGUUGAUAUGUUUCGACUUGGGUGAUCAGUCGUCAUCAGACAGAGCACAGAUGCGAAUGUGAACAGAAAUGCAUCUGAAUCAGACCUUCAUCAUACUUGGAUAUUACAGCUACCUGACAGUCAGACAUGAUGCAUUUAUCAAGAAGCGUAGACCAGGCACCAAUUGUAUCACCAUGGCAGAUCAAGGCACAUAAAUCUGACUUGUACUCCAGGAUCAGUCCCAGUGAAAAUAAAAGACUUCGAUUUGGUGAUGUACUGCAUAUCAUUGAAAUCGUGCCACAUACAUAUACCACUUACAAAUUGGUUGGUAUUCCAGAGGACAUCAAUGAAAUUUCAGUACACGUUUUGAAAGAAAGUGGACAAGAUUUGAGGAGAAAAGAUGACAUUGGCCAUGCAGUAUUGGUAACAACAAAAAAAACUGCAGAGCAAGAAUACUUUGUUGAAUUGUUUGACAGUACAAAUAAACCUAUUUCAGACUCUGUCAGAAGACAGUUAGUUGAUAUGUUACCUUCUGGAAGCCAUGUCACUGUGCACCAUGUUCCAGUACAGAACCAGGGACAAACCAAUGACACUGACUGUGGGUAUUUUGUACUGGCAUUUAUAACUCAUAUAUGCCUGGGCUUGAGAGAGGAACUAGAUACAAUUGUGUUUGAUGUCAGUCAAAUGCGAAGACAUCUUACAGAAUGUUGUAGGAAUGAUUCUUUGAUUGAAUUCCCAUCAGUAUGGGAGAAAAACAACCAGAAACUUAGAGAGACUGGAAGGAAAUCAAUCAAUGAUUACUCUUGGUAGAGGAAUGUCUGUGAUCUAAAACUUGGAAGAUAGGAAGUUGACAGUGGACAGACCACAGAUUAUUUCAAUGGGCAAGUGAGCUCAGGCUACAUAUUUUGCAUAAAUAGCACUUUUUCCAAUUUUCAUAUUAGAUAUUUAAUAUACACAAAACAUAGACAACACUAAACAUAGCUUUCAUUCUUCAUACACACUCAUUCAUUCAUAUCUAUCACCUUCUUUCAACAUGCCUUCAAACAAAUUACAAUCAUCAACACUUAUCGCCAUCCUCAAAAUAAUCAUGAUCAUCAUCAAAAUAAUUCUAAUCAUCAUCAUCAUCAUCAUCCUCAUCAUCAAUAGUCAUCAUCGUCAUCAUCAUAGUCAUCCUCAUCAUCACAAUCAUUGUCAUCAUCACAAUCAUCAUCGUCAUCAUCAUCAUCAUCAUCGUCAUCAUCACAAUAAUUGGUGACUUGACCCCAAGGGGCGGGGGGACCAAAGGGCACUUUUUUUUUUUUUUUUUUUUCUAAAUUCUUCUUCUAUAAGAAUGAAAGAAAUUGGUUUGAAGCCUCCUUUGGUGAAGGGGAACCAAUUUUUGCCUGCCCCAAAGCACCUGAAAGUGGGGCCCAAUAGAGGAAAUACAGUGCAACUUCUGAAAACUGGGCCAGUCAACCGUGAAACAACACACGGGACCUGUGAUUUGUACGGGUAUCCAAUAUAUACCCCAAGGGAGCAUUAUGACGGUAAGCCUAGUGUAUAAUCAACACAACAAUUAUGAAACAAUGCCACACUUCAUUGAAGCACGGUGGUUUGUUAUGUCAUUGUUUAUCUUCUCAAUGCAAGUAGAGCUAGAAGCCUGAGUUUUGCAUCUAAUUUAAAUGUGGUCCAAAGGGGGUUGUUUUUGCAUGGUCGUAAAUGAAGCCUGUGUCCGAUGUUUUUUAAGACAAUACCGAUGUUAAAAAUAUGACCAGUACCAACUGAUAAAUAAACAAUUAAAUAUUAAUAUUUAAUUGCAUUUAUGUUAAGUGCUUGUGAUUGUUGUAUAUUAUGUAUAUUAACCUUAUAUGGUAAUUUGACAUCACAUGACCAGAGCAGAGACGUCACUUUAGCGUCAGCCAGAAAAGGGAGUCAAAGGCCAAAGGUAAAUGUGUUUUAUUUGCAUUCCCACCUCCUACCCCAUCACCGCUAUGGUUGUUUGGCCUUUGCAUUCUCUUUUCUUACAGUUGACAAUUUACUUUUAGAAAUCCUGUAAGACGUGUUCAUUUUAUUUACUUGUUGAGAAAUCUUUGUAAGAUUUCAAUCAUUGAUUCUUUUUUACUGUUGCGAAAUCUUUGUAGAUUUCAUUCAUGUAUAUAUUGUAGAAUUAUGAGGAUAUCUGUUUCAUUUGGUUAGGCAAUCUUGGUAGGAUUUUGUUCAUUGUAAGAUUGUUUUUCAAACUUAUGUUUAAUUUUAAUGUUUUUCUAUAUUGCAUUUACUGCUUUAUUCAAUUUAGUAUGUACAUGUCCAUACACACCUCAAGUGGUAUUCGGUUAUAAUUGAGUGAGUAAACACUUACCAGCUGGCCUAGAGCACGGAUAAAUCCUACCUCCCUCUUCCCUAGAAAGGGGAGAGGUUGGGGCAGCCCGCUCGCAGCACACUUGAGGUGUUACAUGUUAAGUUUUGUACAAUUUUUAGGUUUGGGCUGAUUUUCCCCCUC